Molecule: long non-coding RNA, 354 nt
Filed under: Homo sapiens (human)
Lineage: Eukaryota; Metazoa; Chordata; Mammalia; Primates; Hominidae
Description: LHRI_LNC1625.1
Source: RNAcentral
CUCUGCAGUGUGGAUUGAACAGAAAAUUGGAAAUCAUAGUCAAAGGGCUUCCCUUGGUUCGCCACUCAUUUAUUUGUAACUUGACUUCUUUUUUUUUCUGCUUAAAAAUUUCAAUUCUCGUGGUAAUACCAGAGUAGAAGGAGAGGGUGACUUUACCGAACUGACAGCCAUUGGGGAGGCAGAUGCGGGUGUGGAGGUGUGGGCUGAAGGUAGUGACUGUUUGAUUUUAAAAAGUGUGACUGUCAGUUGUAUCUGUUGCUUUUCUCAAUGAUUCAGGGAUACAAGUGGGCUUCUCUCAUUUAUUAAAAGAAAACGCGACAUCUUUCUAAGAUUCUCUGUGGGAAAAUGACUGUC